AUCAAUAAGCGGAGGAAAAGAAACCAACAGGGAUUGCCUUAGUAACGGCGAGUGAAGCGGCAACAGCUCAAAUUGAAAUCUGGCGUCUUCGGCGUCCGAGUUGUAAUUUGCAGAGGGCGCUUUGGCAUUGGCAGCGGUCCAAGUUCCUUGGAACAGGACGUCACAGAGGGUGAGAAUCCCGUACGUGGUCGCUAGCCUUUACCGUGUAAAGCCCCUUCGACGAGUCGAGUUGUUUGGGAAUGCAGCUCUAAAUGGGAGGUAAAUUUCUUCUAAAGCUAAAUACUGGCCAGAGACCGAUAGCGCACAAGUAGAGUGAUCGAAAGAUGAAAAGCACUUUGGAAAGAGAGUUAAAAAGCACGUGAAAUUGUUGAAAGGGAAGCGCUUGCAGCCAGACUUGCCUGUAGUUGCUCAUCCGGGUUUCUACCCGGUGCACUCUUCUACGGGCAGGCCAGCAUCAGUUUGGGCGGUUGGAUAAAGGUCUCUGUCAUGUACCUCUCUUCGGGGAGAACUUAUAGGGGAGACGACAUGCAACCAGCCUGGACUGAGGUCCGCGCAUCUGCUAGGAUGCUGGCGUAAUGGCUGUAAGCGGCCCGUCUUGAAACACGGACCAAGGAGUCUAACAUCUAUGCGAGUGUUUGGGUGUCAAGCCCGAGCGCGUAAUGAAAGUGAACGGAGGUGGGAACCCUUCGGGGUGCACCAUCGACCGAUCCUGAUGUCUUCGGAUGGAUUUGAGUAAGAGCAUAGCUGUUGGGACCCGAAAGAUGGUGAACUAUGCUUGAAUAGGGUGAAGCCAGAGGAAACUCUGGUGGAGGCUCGCAGCGGUUCUGACGUGCAAAUCGAUCGUCAAAUUUGGGCAUAGGGGCGAAAGACUAAUCGAACUAUCU
RNAcentral lists this small RNA (884 nucleotides) under Didymella gardeniae. RNAcentral's name for it is "eukaryotic LSU rRNA". It matches the Rfam family "Eukaryotic large subunit ribosomal RNA", at positions 42 to 945 of the family's 3401-position model. Lineage: Eukaryota; Fungi; Ascomycota; Dothideomycetes; Pleosporales; Didymellaceae. The record is from RNAcentral.